UGGGGAAUUUUGCACAAUGGGGGAAACCCUGAUGCAGCGACGCCGCGUGAUUUAGAAGGCCUUCGGGUUGUAAAAAUCUUUUCUAUGGGAAGAAAAUGACAGUACCAUAGGAAUAAGGACCGGCUAAUUACGUGCCAGCAGCCGCGGUAAUACGUAAGGUCCGAGCGUUGUCCGGAAUCAUUGGGCGUAAAGGGUACGUAGGCGGGUAAGCAAGUUAGAAGUGAAAUCCUGUAGCUCAACUACAGUAAGCUUUUAAAACUGCUCAUCUUGAGAUAUGGAAGGGAAAGUGGAAUUCCUAGUGUAGCGGUGAAAUGCGCAGAUAUUAGGAGGAAUACCGGUGGCGAAGGCGACUUUCUGGCCAUAAUCUGACGCUGGGGUACGAAAGCGUGGGUAGCAAACAGG
RNAcentral lists this ribosomal RNA (402 nucleotides) under Bacteroidota bacterium. Its description in RNAcentral is "Bacteroidetes bacterium partial 16S ribosomal RNA". It matches the Rfam family "Bacterial small subunit ribosomal RNA", at positions 355 to 776 of the family's 1533-position model. The record is from RNAcentral. RNAcentral also lists the same sequence under 1 other name. Lineage: Bacteria; Pseudomonadati; Bacteroidota.